Molecule: ribosomal RNA, 460 nt
Filed under: uncultured bacterium
Lineage: Bacteria
Description: partial 16S ribosomal RNA
Rfam family: Bacterial small subunit ribosomal RNA
Source: RNAcentral
CCUACGGGAGGCAGCAGUGAGGAAUAUUGGUCAAUGGGCGCAAGCCUGAACCAGCCAAGUCGCGUGAGGGAUGACGGUCCUAUGGAUUUUAAACCUCUUUUGUCGGGGAGCAAGGCCCGCCACGUGUGUCGGGAAGGAGAGUACCCUAAGAAAAAGCAUCGGCUAAUUCCGUGCAAGCAGCCGCGGUAAUACGGAGGAUGCGAGCGUUAUCCGGAUUUAUUGGGUUAAAGGGGUGCGUAGGCGGAAGGUUAAGUCAGCGGUAAAAUGUCGGUGCUAAACACGGGUCUGCCGUUGAAACUGGUCUUCUUGAGUGAGGGAGAAGUAAGCGGAAUGCGGGGUGUAGCGGUGAAAUGCAUAGAUAUCACGAAGAACACCGAUUGCGAAGGCAGCAUACCGGAGCUUAACUGACGCUGAAGCACGAAAGCGUGGGUAGCGAACAGGAUUAGAUACCCGAGUAGUC